GCGUGAGUGAAGAAGGCCUUAGGGUUGUAAAGCUCUUUCGGCGGGGAAGAUGAUGACGGUACCCGCAGAAGAAGCCCCGGCUAACUCCGUGCCAGCAGCCGCGGUAAUACGGAGGGGGCUAGCGUUGUUCGGAAUUACUGGGCGUAAAGGGCGUGUAGGCGGUCCGCCGAGUCAGGCGUGAAAGGCCCGGGCUCAACCCGGGAACGGCGUUUGAUACUGGCGGGCUCGAGACCGGGAGAGGAGAGUGGAAUUCCCAGUGUAGAGGUGAAAUUCGU
RNAcentral lists this ribosomal RNA (275 nucleotides) under uncultured bacterium. Its description in RNAcentral is "partial 16S ribosomal RNA". It matches the Rfam family "Bacterial small subunit ribosomal RNA", at positions 399 to 691 of the family's 1533-position model. The record is from RNAcentral.